This is a long non-coding RNA of Vitis vinifera (wine grape), 2327 nucleotides long. RefSeq lists it as uncharacterized. The transcript is spliced from 4 exons. Lineage: Eukaryota; Viridiplantae; Streptophyta; Magnoliopsida; Vitales; Vitaceae. The record is from RefSeq and is a predicted model, not a curated record.
UCUCAACAAAUAUGCCCGCCUUUUGUUGCUAGAGAAUUCAUAAUUUUUUUUGGUAAAAACCCUAAUCAAUCCUCUACUAUGUUGACAGCUUCAACCCCAAAUCAUAUCAUCUGUAACCCAUUACUCAAAUUUUAGAUUUUAUGAUUCCCAAAUCCUCGAAUGCCUCACCCAAUGCCACUUCAACCAAAGACGAGACAUGCUCGACGAAAUGUCCAAUAGAGACUCCAUUAUUAGGCCUUUGGAUGGACUUCAUUGCUUUCCAGUGUCUCAGAAAAUGGUCUCAUCCAUGAUUUGGAUUGUGGGUGGUCUUCGAUAUCAUGCCUAAGAGAUAUACUUUGAAUUAUAGCACCAUUUUGUCAGGUUAUGUGCAAUGGGAGAAAUGGAGUGAUCCUUGUGCAGAAUGUCUUGUGGACUUCAUGCUUUGUGGAUUAGUGAAUACAGGGAGGAUGGAUGGGGUGGGGGAAUGGUUCCCUGCGAUUCCAGAGAGUAAUGUUGUUUUUUGGAAUCCAAUGGUUGUUGGAUUGUUCAGUAAUGAGGAACUGAAGAAAGCUAUCGUUGCAGGGUAUGUAGAGCAUGCUGGAAUGGAGGAUAUCAGAGUGGUUACUUGUGUUGGGGUGCAACAAUGCAGCUCUUAAGCUAGAGUGUGGGUCACCCAAAUGAUAGUAUUCGAAUGCCAUAAGAGGCUUAGCCUUUGCUCACAGGAGACUGAUUGGUUUUUAUAUGAAAUGGUUAAAGCUCAAUCCAAUAAUUGAUGCCAGAGCCAGGGUCAUGGUUUUGAGCCACGGGAACAUCAUCUCAGGAGAGGGAUUGUUGGGGUGCAAGUAUGGGUCACCCAAAUGUUGUUGAUGAAAUGCAAUAAAAGGUUUAACCUACCUGACUGGACAUUGAUUGGUUUCAAGCCUGGGAUGGGUCAUACAAAUGAUAGUGGUCGAAUGUCGUAAAAGGCUUAGCCUACCCUCAUUGAACACCAAUUGGUUUUUGGAUGAGAUAGUCAAAGCCCAAUCCAAAAACUUAGAUCAGCAAAAUUGCAGGUUAUUGUAGGGCUGAACGAUAUGUGAGAAUAGUGUUGUUUGUUUUGUGGACUAUUGAAAGAGGAAAGCUGUUUCUUGGAUGACAAUUAUUGGUGGGUUUGCUUGAGCAACAAUGCACUUCUUGUUCUUGAUUGCUACCAAAAAAAAAGGAAAAUGUGCCUUUUGGUUGAAGAAAAAGUGAGACAUAGCAUGGAGAUGCAGUGCUCAGAAAUCAUUGAAUGGCUGCCUCACUCCUUGGCUUACUUUUUCAGGACUGUUCUAUUAUCUUUAGGACAUGCACAGAGAAUCAUACAUGAUUUUUGGAAAGAACACAGUAACUGCUACGAGGUUUGCUUGAGCAACAGUGGGCUUCUUGUUCUUGACUACUACUACAUAAAUUAAAAAAAUGUGCCUUUUGUUUGAAAGAAAAAGUGAAACAUAGAAUGGAGAUUCAGUGCUCAGAAAUUAUUGAAUGGCUGCCUCACUCCUUGGCUUACUUUUUCAGGACUGUUCUAUUUAUCUUUAGGACAUAACCAGAGGAUCAUACAUGAUUUUUGGAAACAACACAGUAAUUAUUACUAUGAAGUUUUCAGGGCCCCUAGAGUGUUUUUGUUGCACUAAACUGAUGAAAGAAGAUGGACAGACAGCUGCAAUAUUAACAUCUCAGAAUUAGAGCAAAUAUUAGUAGGAAGAAGCAUGAUAUUUUUGGUAUAUAUUAGACCCUAUGCCACAAGCAUUAGAAAUAUUGGCUGCCUCUCUUUAUUGCUCUUACAAAAUGCCCCGCUGAUCAAAAUAUCCUGAUGUGACCUAAGAUGAGUUCACAACAAUUAGACUAAUAUUGAUCAAUCUUUUGCUAACAUGUACUUGGGCUAUUAUGCAGGACCAAUCACAUGCUAAUUCUAUGGUUGAGAAAAGGCAUCAAGCCCUUGUACAAGUGAGCAGAGUAUGAGACUUUGAGAUUUUCCACAAUGAAGGAGAAUUCAGGCCUUAGCAGAUAACAGCAACACAGAGGUUAUUUCCAAAGAAUGGUACGAAUCAUUUUGACAAAUGUGGCAUAUACAACCAAGCCAAUUUUAAGCAACAGAGUCUCAACACCAGGAAACUGAGUUGCUUUAUGUAUCUGGUGGGGGUGGCUUCUACAAUCUAUCAAGUAUCAACUGGGUGCUGACUCAACAACUGUCCAUGAUGGUCCUUCUGCGGUAGCUAGUGGUAUUCUAGUUGCUUUGUUGUUCAUCGCAUCUCCAUGUAAGACACUCUCGUCCCUCCCGUUACUCAGAAUAUUUUGAAGAUAAUAAAAAACAAUUAUGAUUUGCAAAA